CACAACACACACAUAUAUGUAUGUAUGUAUGUAUGUGCGCGCGUGUGUGAGUGUAUAUGGAUGAGAGGUGCCUUCCUCCGCCCGCUAUACGUCGCGUUCGUGGCGCGCGAGCGAAGGUGCUCUUAUACGUAGUGCGCCUAUGUGUUUGUAGUAUCUUCUCUCUCUCUCUCUCUCUCUCUCUCUUCCUCUUUCCCUCCCUCCCUCUCCUUCUCUUUCUCUUUCUCUUUCUAUCUUCAUUUUUCUCCAAGAUAUUCUCUCUCUUUCUACGUCGCGUUUUACUUCAAUACACGAAUCUAUUUUAUUCGCAACUACACGGGCGGCUAUGUUUUCACCUUUAACCUUACGUUUAGUCAAUCAUAUUUUCUCUUUCUCUAAGUCCAUCUUACUUUUCGUGUUUUAAUUUUUUUUAUUCCUGAGGAUUUGUCGUCAUUAUCGUGUCUGAUAUUGUCGUCUACCUAUCUACCUAUCUACCAACCUACCUAUCAACGCUUUGAGCGAGCGUGCAACCCUCCAACUACGCGAGUAUUUGCGACCAUAAUCCGUCCUUUCCCGCCAUAGUCAUUCAUGAUCGUCACAAGAGACGGAAAAGCGAUGACAAAGCGCGUAAUAUACUCGUAUUUUAAUUUUUUUUUAAAUAUUUUUCUUCGAAGCAAGAAACAAAGAGAUCAAGGAAAUAAAGAGAAAAAAAGAAAGAUAAAGAGAAGUUGAUUUUUAUCGCCCUCGACCGUCACCGCGAUUAUAUGCUUCUAUCCUUCCCCCUCCCUUAAAGAAUUUGCGGUUGUUAUUUCAACGUGUAUGUAACGGAUAAUUCGAAUUUGAUAGUUCGAUCGAAGUAAUUGGUUUUUCAUCGUUUUAUUGGACAAUAAUUAUCAACAUUUGCAAGGCUAAUAAUAGAAUAACAAUUGUAAUUAUAUAAAUUAUUUUUUGCAAAUAAACGGAUAAACUUGUUAUUCAUUUAAUCUUUUUGCCAAGAUGCUUUAUUAGAACUUUGUUAGCAGUAAAUGAAGUAAAUAUUCUUAUUAUGGUAAUAUAUUCGUGGAUAUAAUUGAUGUGAUAUGUAGUAACUGGUCAUAUAACAUUUACAAAGAAA
RNAcentral lists this long non-coding RNA (1090 nucleotides) under Polistes fuscatus (common paper wasp). RNAcentral's name for it is "uncharacterized LOC122522248". The record is from RNAcentral. Lineage: Eukaryota; Metazoa; Arthropoda; Insecta; Hymenoptera; Vespidae.